This 1387-nucleotide ribosomal RNA is filed under the name uncultured Rikenellaceae bacterium. Its description in RNAcentral is "16S ribosomal RNA". It matches the Rfam family "Bacterial small subunit ribosomal RNA". Lineage: Bacteria; Pseudomonadati; Bacteroidota; Bacteroidia; Bacteroidales; Rikenellaceae. The record is from RNAcentral.
GCAAGUCGAGGGGCAUCACGAUGAUUGCUUGCAAUCAUUGGUGGCGACCGGCGCACGGGUGCGUAACGCGUAUGCAACCUACCCUUUAUAGGUGAAUAACCCGAAGAAAUUCGGACUAAUACACCGUAUGUAACGAAGAGGCAUCUUUUUGUUAUGAUAGAUUUAUUGAUAAAGGAUGGGCAUGCGUGACAUUAGCUAGUUGGAGAGGUAACGGCUCACCAAGGCAACGAUGUCUAGGGGUUCUGAGAGGAAGGUCCCCCACACUGGUACUGAGACACGGACCAGACUCCUACGGGAGGCAGCAGUGAGGAAUAUUGGUCAAUGGGCGCAAGCCUGAACCAGCCAUGCCGCGUGCAGGAUGACGGCUCUAUGAGUUGUAAACUGCUUUUAUACUAGGGUAAAGUCAUCUACGUGUAGAUGUUUGAAAGUAUAGUAUGAAUAAGGAUCGGCUAACUCCGUGCCAGCAGCCGCGGUAAUACGGAGGAUCCAAGCGUUAUCCGGAUUUAUUGGGUUUAAAGGGUGCGUAGGCGGUUUUUUAAGUUAGUCGUUAAAUCGCGAGGCUCAACCUCGCAAUGGCGAUUGAUACUGGAGAGCUAGAGAUUAUGUGCAGCGGGCGGAAUGAGUAGUGUAGCGGUGAAAUGCUUAGAUAUUACUCAGAACACCAAUUGCGAAGGCAGCUCGCUAACAUACAUCUGACGCUGAUGCACGAAAGCGUGGGGAUCAAACAGGAUUAGAUACCCUGGUAGUCCACGCCGUAAACGAUGAUAACUCGUUGUCGGGUUUUAGGACUCGGUGACUAAGGGAAACCGAUAAGUUAUCCACCUGGGGAGUACGGCCGCAAGGCUGAAACUCAAAGGAAUUGACGGGGGCCCGCACAAGCGGAGGAACAUGUGGUUUAAUUCGAUGAUACGCGAGGAACCUUACCCGGGCUUGAAAGUUAGCGACCGCUCCUGAAAGGGAGCCUCCAGCAAUGGCGCGAAACUAGGUGCUGCAUGGUUGUCGUCAGCUCGUGCCGUGAGGUGUCGGGUUAAGUCCCAUAACGAGCGCAACCCCUAUCGUUAGUUACCAGCAUGUUAUGAUGGGGACUCUAACGAGACUGCCGGUGUAAACCGCGAGGAAGGUGGGGAUGACGUCAAAUCAGCACGGCCCUUACGUCCGGGGCGACACACGUGUUACAAUGGCCGGUACAGAGGGUCGCAACACAGCGAUGUGAAGCUAAUCUCUAAAAGCCGGUCUCAGUUCGGAUCGCAGGCUGCAACUCGCCUGCGUGAAGUUGGAUUCGCUAGUAAUCGCGCAUCAGCCAUGGCGCGGUGAAUACGUUCCCGGGCCUUGUACACACCGCCCGUCAAGCCAUGGAAGUCGAGGGUGCCUGAAGUGCGUGACCGAA